AGGUAAUUCACAAGAAAACAUAUCUAUUCUCACUUCCUUGUGCUACAUUUAAUAAUUCUCGCUUCAGUCGAUGAGUCGAUCUCACGAGAUAAUCAUAAGCAACCUGUCCCCACGGAUACUCAUUAGCCUUCUUCACGUCGUCCAUCAAUUGCAUAUACCCUGAUUCAAGUGUCGAACUAUCCAAGUUAUACAUCAAGAACAGUCCGUAUAAGAUUAAUAAAUAGGCUAAUUUCAGACUAUUGGGAGAAUUCCCUCCAGUUUCACCACAUUCCUCACGAAAUUUUUCUUCUAUAUCAGCUAUUAUCAAAAGCCUGCGGGAUUCAAACACGUCCCGAUGAAAUUCUUAUUCUCUUGGAAGUACCAAAUUGCCGCUAAAUUUCAAGUCCGUCAUUACACAAAAGUCGGCUCGUCCGAAUUCAAAACUACGGUCUCCAAACUUAAACAACAAUGUAUUUCUAUCAAGGCUACUUGAGUGUAGCCUCCUACAUAGAGGUAUCAAAUGGGCCGGGUCGGGCUAGCCCGGCCCGGACCCACCGGGCUUUUGACUAUUACCGGGUCGGGCUGGCCCGGCCCGAAAUCAUAUCGGGCUGCCAAAUUCUAGGCCCAACCCAGCCUCUAUCGGGUCAUCGGGCGGUCGGGCCAAAUCGGCCCAUUAUUAAUUUUUUUUUCUAAAAUCUUAUUUUUUGUUAUAAAAAUAAUAAAAAAUAUAAUAAUUGAAAAACUAUGCGUAUCUACAACUUCCGUUAUGUGUUCUAAAAUAUUUUUCUUUUGGUUAUUAUGUCUAUGUGUAGCAAUCUUCGUAUUUGAUUAAUGGGCCGCAUAUCAGAAUGGUUUCUCGUCCUAAUUGAUUUCACAACUUUAUUCACCAACUAAUAAAUUAGAUAUUGCAAACUAAAAAGUAAAUAAAUAAAAUAUUGCUGCGCACUUGUGUUUGUAAAUGGGUUCAGAUACAUAAGCAUUCAUCAGAUACCUCAUGAUUAUAGAUUAGUUCGACUCAAUUUUACAAUCUUGCACAGUUGCACUUGUAAUACGGGUCUCUUUUCUCAUUAAUCAUAUUAAAUCAUACAUUUAACAUCGACAAAUAUUAAAUAAUUAAUUAUAUAUAUUAUGUCUAUGUGUAGUAAUCUUCAUCUUGAUUACCUAAUGUGAUUAGUGGUUCAAAUCUGUGUAGUUACAUAUUUCUAACUAGAUUUAGUUACUUUUUAUCAUUUAAUUUUAAAAUUUAUUACUUUUAAAAUAUAUAUAAUUUAAAUAAAAAAUAGUUAAUUUCGGGCUGGCUAAAAAGCCCGAAAACCCCGGGCUUUUUAGCCCGAAAGCCCGAUAAGUCCGACGGGCCCACUGGGCGGGCUUUUUAGGCCCGGUUUUUUAUGGGCCUCAAUUUUUAGAGCCCAGCCCAGCCCUAAACCUGGGCGGACCGGGCCGGCCCAUCGGGCCGGGUUGAUUUUGACAGCUCUACUCCUACACAACAAUUUGAAUAAUUCUCCUUGGAAUUCAAAAUCACCAAGGUCCAACAAAAAUCCAAAGCAUGAUUCACGCAAAAGAGACAUAUUAGACUCUGAUAAUAGACCUCUAAUCUCCUCUAAAUACCACAAUCUUGCUCUAUUUCUCAACUCCACUACAUCACAAAAUUGAAAAACAAAGUUCUGUAAAUUACCCUCACUUCAACUGAGCUUUACAAAUAAAACUUACAAAGAAAGCAUUACGACUCAAUUAUGAUGAUUAAUUAGCUUCUAAACUUCCACGAAGUGAUUGUUACUUUUUCAUGAAAUUAAAUUACAUCAAUUUUUUCUCUCUUCUUCCAAGAGAACGUAAAAUUAAAAAGAGAACAAAUAAAAUAGUCAUAGGCAUCUAGAAACAGAUCCAAUCCAACAACAAAUAACAUGUAGUAGUCGACCAUUAAAAAGGAAAAUAAUUUCAGAAAAGACAAAAAAAAGUGAGGGAUAAAUGAAAUGAAAUUUUAAGAAAUGGAAUGCAGAAAAUCCUCUCUAGCUUCAUGCUCUCAUAACCAGGAACCGUUUGCAAACAAAUUCGAAAUCAUUUCCAGUUCUAACAAAGAUACUAUGUACCACUACAAUUUCUCAGCCAUUUUUUCUUUACAAAAACAAAAAUACCAACAACCAAUAUGGGACUUACUAUAAAGUUCAAAGGACCGAAAACAAGAAAAACCACAUAAACAACUUCAAAUAAAUCAAUGAACGACGAAAACAAGAACUAAAAUCUUCCAUACCCAGACAUUUAGAACUUCGAACUUCCAUCGAAAAAGCGAAUGCGACUUCACCUUUCAAAGCUCAAACUUUAAAUUUCAAAACACGCUUCCGCUUCAAAAAUAUUUUCUUCAAAACAUGCUAACUGUUUUCGUGUCUCUGUUGACCAAAACC
This 2378-nucleotide long non-coding RNA is filed under the name Salvia miltiorrhiza (redroot sage). RNAcentral's name for it is "long non-coding RNA (SMIL_LNC011059)". Lineage: Eukaryota; Viridiplantae; Streptophyta; Magnoliopsida; Lamiales; Lamiaceae. The record is from RNAcentral.